UCCAAGGCAGUCCUAAAGCAGUAGAUAAGGUCAAUGUGGGACCUACAGUCUUUGCCAUAGGUGAGGCAGAUGCUUGAUUAAAGGUCUGUGUGGUUUCCUUUUGCUAAACCUGUGCAUUCCCCUCACAAAAGAACUCGUAUCAUUCCUCAUGUUCCUCAAUUUCAAGUAGUCCUGUGUCAAGGAAUCUCAUGAGUCAAUGAGUAAGUUAUACUUUUGCAAGGAGGCAGUAAGAACAUGCUUGGGUCUCUUUAUCAGCAUGGAGUGCCUGCUUCAGACAUCUGGAGCUGACUAUACAAACAUCAUGGCUUGCUCAGCAAAAAUGACCGAGUGCCUCCGUGCUGGGGAUACUGUCCUGGAAGAAGAAACUGGAAUUAAUUUGCUUAUCCUGACAAUGGAUUGAAAGGGUUUUACAGAGUUUUUCCACUGCCUUAAGAUAGCUUCUACAAAUAGUCCAUAUCUCAAAAGCAUAUACGUAGGAGGGUGGGAAUCACAAUUGUCUGGUAAGCUAUUGUUUGAGGUCUUCCUCUCCAAAUCUUCUACUCCUCAAUCAGCUAACACACCAAAGAUGGUGAUGAAUUUCAACGGAUAGGCUUCCUUCAUUGGGAGACAAUGCCCAACCUAUAUUUCCGGAUUCACAUUGUAGAUCUUUAUUGGGGCGUGUGGGUGAAGCAUCUGUGCUUCACAGAUGUUCAGCUUAUGGUCCAUUAUUUCAAAUUCUUCAGUGAAUGAGUCGAUAAUAGUUGGAGUUCAGCCUUCAAGUGUGCACAUGCACAAGCAUUAUAUCUGUUCUGUGACUGACUUUAGAGUGACCUUGGUGAUGGAACAGAAUCAAUACAGGAUGAAUAUUUGUUACUGAUAUUGACAUUGCUUUAUUAUUGUCACAUGUCCCAAGAUACACUGAAAAGCUGUUCAUACAGAUCAAAAUUGAUACAGUGCCUUGAGGUAGAAUAAGGUGAAACAGCAGCAAAAUGUAAAAACCACCCAAAAAAGUGCAGUGCAGAUAAUGAGGUAGAUUGUGAGGCCAAGUGUUCAUCUUAUCAUUCGAUCAUAUAAAAGAUCCAUUCAGAAGUCUGAAAACAGUGGCAUACAAGCUGUUUUUGAGCCUGGUGGUAUGUGCUUUAAGGAUUUGUUAUCUUUUGCCUCAUGGGAGGGGAGAAGAAAGAAUGUCUGGCAUGGGUGGGACUUUGCUUACAUUGGCUGCUUUACUGAGCAAGAAGUAUAGAGAGAGUCCUUGGAGGAGAGUCUGGUUCCUGUGAUGUACUGAGCUGUGUCCACAACUCUCCAAAGUCUCUUGAGGUCACAUGCAGUUACCAAGCCAUUAAGCAUCCAGACAGGAUGCUUUCAAUUGUGCACCAAUCAAAAAAUCCUCCUGUAGGUUAGCAACACGGCAACAGAAAGGGAUAUUGGGUCUCAAACUCACUCUAUCAGAUUAACUGAUACUCCUUUAACAAGAGGGGUCAGAACUCACGUAGCAAAAUGCUAAGGAGCAUUGAAUUACAGAAGGAUCUUGGGAUUGCAAGUUCACAGCUUCCUGAAAGUGGCAACGCAAAUGGACAGGGGGGUAAAGAAUGUAUAUGGCAUUGAGUAUAAAAGUCAGAAAGUCAUGAGACAGCAGUAUAACACAUUGGUUAGGCUGAAUUUGAAAUACUAUUUGCUGUUCUGGUCACCAAACUGGAGGAAGGACGUGGAAGCACUGGAGAGAGUACAGAAGUGUUUCACAAGGAUAUUGCCUGGAAUGGAGAGUACUAGCCAAAAAAAAAGUGGUUAAACUAACUUGAAUUGUUUUCUCUGGUGUGUAUGAAGCUGAGAGGGUCCUGGUAGAAGUUUCCAAAAUUGUGAGAGGCAUAGAUAGGGUAGAACAGUCAAUUACUUGAGAGUAUACAUUUAAAGAGAGAAGGGGGAAGUUUAAAAGAGGCAUGCAAGGCAUUUUAUUUUUUGCAGAACAUGCUAAGUGCCAGGAACCCAUUGCCAGUGGAGAUGGUAGAAGUAGACAUUUGGCAUUUAAGAGACAGUUAGGCAAACAUGUGGAUAGAGAGAUACCAACCAUAUGAAAGCAGAUAUGAUAAGUUAGACUACCAUCAUGUAAGGUGGGCUGAAGGAUGUGGUGCUGUGCUAUACUGUCCUCUGUUCUGUGUUCAUUGUUCUAUGUAAAACAAAGGUUACUAAGCAUGUUAAAUCAAAACACUCUCAUGAUUUCUCUUUUUUGAAUAAAUGCAGAAAGCAAUAAUGGUAGAGAGAAUACUUUCUCUCCCUCUCUCCUCUUUCUUCUUUCCUACAAAGAUAAUUUAGUACAUUAAAUUUUUCUUUGAGAUUUGGUGCAUACUUUGGAAAAUCUGAAGUAAAGCUGUUGGGAAAAAAACAAACACUUCAGUAACCAUGGCUUAUGGUUCAGUAUCAGCUAGAAAAUUAAAUAUUGUCUGUGUUCAAAAUUCAACAAGUCAUAGUUUAGAUAAUACUGUCAGUCUCACCCAAGGAUUUAGGAAUAGAUAUGAAAGCAUUGAAAAUAGGAUAGAUAACUUGUAUUAUUGACCCCAGUCAGCACUGUUGCUCACAAUUGCCAUUAACUUCUGAAACCCCUUCAAAGUUACUUCAAAAACAUUUAAUUAUUAACUAUUUUUCAAUUUCAAACAAAUAGUUUUCAAAUUCUGAUAACAUUAAAAUAUAAAAAUUGUUCAAAUGCUUUAACAUUGUUCAAGCAGUUUAAUAGCAAGGUCUAUGAACACUGUCUCGUUGUCCAUGUUCUGCACUGUUUAUCUAAUUUGUAACUCAUAAUAAUUCUCAUGUCUUGCACGGUACUGUUCCCACAAAACAAAAAAAAAUUCAUGGUAUCUUUCAGUGAUAAAAAAAAUCGAAAUCAGAUUCAGAUCUAAAUGCACUUGUGUUUAAUAACGUCCAUUAUAGACAUUCACCUCCAUUGAAAUGAAUGGAGAAGUUACACGAUGUUCAGAAGAAUGCUGGCUGGUAAGUGAUAUGGAGUCUCUGCAAUUUCCAGCUCUCGCACUGAAAUUCAUGAGAAAUCCUGCAACUUCACCACUCCUGAGUAUGCAUGAAUUUUCUGCAUUGGCUGAAGCUUUUUUGGAAAUAGCAAAAGUGCUGUUAGCAUUUCAUCGAAUUGUAGAAAUACUCAAAUUUAAAGGGCAGACAAAGUGCUCUCAGUCCACAGCCUUGCAGAUUUUGAUCUUUAAGUGCUUGCACAGUCAUAUUUUAUUUCCUCAUUCAGUUGGGGCAAUUAUCAUAUUUAUAAAUUUAAAUCUUGUAGAUAUUUUAAGGGACUGGAAAUUUCAGAUACUGAGAAAACAAUAGCAGUAAAAACUGUCUUUGGAUUAUUUGGAUUAAUCCAUUUUUGGAAAUGUAUACUGGUCAGAUUAUGCAGUUUAAAUAUAAUAUUCCAUCAAUAUAGCAUUUAUUAUGUGACACACUAUAUAACUUCUUAAUUAUUGAAAAUACUUUCACAAUGUCCAGCGCAGGGUUACAGGAAUUCAAAAAAUUCAAUAUUUUGUUUUUCCCUAUCAAACAUAAAAUAUAAGCACUGGAUACACGAAAGUACUGCAUGUACAGUAUAUCUGUAGUUCUAGUGUACAUGCUCGAUCUAUGCAACCAUUUAUUAAUUAAUUAUAAAUGUUUUGAACUUUUUGACAACGCAGUAUCUUUACUUUAUGAAUUUAAAUUACAAAUCAAAAAAUAUUGGCAGUUGCAAUAAAUAACAUUUAAAGUGUUUACCUGUAAAGUAAAAUUUGCCAAGCAAGAGAAUUUGACUCACUUAAAUAUCUUAAUGUUAAGUGUUUAACUUUCUAUUUAAAAAAUGUGCCUUGACAUUUUAUUUGAAUCUUUACUGAUUUAUUGACAUUAGGGUAGUCCAUCAAACUGUCGUGGACACUUGACAGGACACUUACUGCAGACAGUGUUUUCAUUGAAUUUAAUUUGUCCUUUAGGCAAUUUAUAAAAUAUUCUCCAUGAAAGGGGAAUGUAAACUGUUCUACUGUUGCUUCCUCGCCUGGCUUUCUUGAAAUUGUUUAACUGGUGAUAAAAACAAAGAAACCUGUAUUCUUCUGAAACCACAGAGAGGAAGUCUGGGUGGAGCUUCUGUCAAAGGAUCCAGGACAUCACGGACCAAGUGCAGGGAAUCCUCAAGGGUGAAGAUGAACAGCCAGAAGUGAUAGUGCAUGUCGGCACAAAUGACAUCAGGAAGAAGAGGAAGGACAUUCUGCAGCAGGACUUCAGAAAACUUGGAAGAAGGCUGAAAAGCAGGACUUCCAGGAUGGUUACCUCUGGUUUGCUUCCAGUUCCUCGUGCUGGAGAGGGCAGGAACAGGGAGAUAAUGGAUCUGAAUGUGUGGCUGAGGAACUGGUGCAGGAAGCAAGGAUUUACAUACUUGGACCACUGGGGUUGACAGCUGGCUGACGUUAUUUUUGGUUUGCUGCUGGCGGCAAAUUUAAGUUUGGCGUUUUUCAUAAAUACAAGAAGGACUCAAAUACUUAAAAGUAACCUUCAACCCAACGUCUUUUUUUCGGAGUUCAAAAUGUUUUUGUUGCAUGCAGAAAUGUAAUUUCGUUUUCUCUGCAGGAGUUCAUCAAUUUCAUAAAUGCAACACAUUAUAGUUUGUUUAUACAUAGCAUAAAGGCAAAACAAAACGUUGUAUGCAGUGUUAUUUCAUUUUAAAUGUCAAACGGGUUUUGCGGCUCCCAGUGUUUUCUUUUCUGUGGGAAACGGGUCCAAGUGGCUCUUUCAGUGGUAAAGGUUGCUGACCCCUGAACUAGGGUAAUGGAUGAACUGAAGGAAAUUUAUAUUAGGCAAAAAACGGUGUUGGAUAGACUGUUGGGUCUGAAGGCUAAUAAAUCCCCGGGGCCUGAUGGUCUGCAUCCCAGGGUACUUAAGGAGGUGGCUCUAGAAAUCAUGGAUGCAUUGGUAAUCAUUUUCCAAUGUUCUAUAGAUUCAGGAACAGUUCCUGCGGAUUAGAGGGUGGCUAAUGUUGUCCCACUUUUCAAGAAAGGAGGAAGAGAGAAAACAGGGAAUUAUAGGCCGGUUAGCCUGACGUCAGUAGUGGGAAAGAUGCUGGAAUUAAUUAUAAAAGAGGAAAUUACAACACAUUUGGAUAGCAGUAGAAGGAUCAGUCCAAGUCAGCAUAGAUUUAUGAAGGGAAAAUCAUGCUUGACUAAUCUUCUGGAGUUUUUUGAGGAUGUAACUAUGAAAAUGGACAAGGGAGAGCCAGUGGAUGUAGUGUACCUGGACUUUCAGAAAGCUUUUAAUAAAGUACCACAUAGGAGAUUAGUGGGCAAAAUUAGAGCACAUGGUAUUGGGGGCAGAGUACUGACAUGGAUUGAAAAUUGGCUGGCUGACAGGAAACAAAGAGUAUCAAUUAACGGGUCCCCUUCGGAAUGGCAGGCUGUGACUAGUGGGGUACCACACCGCAAGGUUUGGUGCUGGGACCACAGCUGUUUACAAUAUAAAUUAAUUAUUUAGAUGAAGGGAUUAAAAGUAACAUCAGCAAAUUUGCUGAUGACACAAAGCUAGGUGGCAGUGUGAAAUGUCAGGAGGAUGUUAUGAGAAUGCAGGGUGACUUGGACAGGCUAGGUGAGUGGGCGAAUGUAUGGCAGAUGCAGUUUAAUGCGGAUAAAUGUGAGGUUAUCCACUUUGGUGGCAAGAACAGGAAGGCAGAUUACUAUCUAAAUGGAGUCAAGUUAGGAAAAGGGGAAGUACAACGAGAUCUAGGUGUUCUUGUACAUCAGUCAAUGAAAGCAAGCAUGCAGGUACAGCAGGCAGUGAAGAAAGCUAAUGGCAUGCUGGCCUUUAUAACAAGAGGAGUGGAAUAUAGGAGUAAAGAGGUCCUUCUGCAGAUGUACAGGGCCUUGGUGAGACCCCAGCUGGUGUAUUGUGUGCAGUUUUGGUCUCCAAAUUUGAGGAAGGACAUUCUUGCUAUUGAGGGAGUGCAGCGUAGGUUCACAAGGAUAAUUCCCGGAAUGCAGGGACUGUCAUAUGUUGAAAGAUUGGAGCGACUGGGCUUGUAUACACUGGAAUUCAGAAGGAUGAGAAGGGAUCUGAUUGAAACAUAUAAGAUUAUUAAGGGAUUGGACACGCUGGAGGCAGGAAGCAUGUUCCCGCUGUUGGGUGAGUCCAGAACUAAAGGCCACAGUUUAAGAAUAAGGGGUAGGCCAUUUAGAACAGAGAUGCGGAAAAACUUUUUCACCCAGAGAAUGGUGGAUAUGUGGCAUGCUCUGCCCCAGAAGGCAGUGGAGGCCAAGUCUCUGGAUGCUUUCAAGAGUGAGUUAGAUAAAGCUCUUAUAGAUAGCGGGGUCAUGGGAUAUGGGGAGAGGGCAGGAACGGGGUACUGAUUGUGUAUGAUCAGCCAUGAUCACAGUGAAUGGCGGUGCUGGCUAGAAGGGCUGAAUGGCCUACUCCUAUCCCUCCUGUCUAUUGUCUAUAAAAACAAGAAUGGUCAGGAAUCCCCCAGGCCAUUAAGCUUCUGAACUCCCUGCCGCAUCAUAUUCAAAGUGUCACUGGCCAAUCUGUUUCGUACCUUACAUUAUUUAACAUCAAUGCACUUUUGUUUGAUAUUUAUGUGUGAUUCAUCUGUAGAUUUUAUCCUUACCUUCAUAAGUUAUCAAUGUUA
This is a long non-coding RNA of Hypanus sabinus (Atlantic stingray), 6607 nucleotides long. RefSeq lists it as uncharacterized. Lineage: Eukaryota; Metazoa; Chordata; Chondrichthyes; Myliobatiformes; Dasyatidae. The record is from RefSeq and is a predicted model, not a curated record. The transcript has 3 exons.